RNAcentral lists this small nuclear RNA (102 nucleotides) under Panthera leo (lion). RNAcentral's name for it is "U2 spliceosomal RNA (ENSPLOG00000006346.1)". It matches the Rfam family "U2 spliceosomal RNA". From Rfam's summary of the family: U2 is a small nuclear RNA (snRNA) component of the spliceosome (involved in pre-mRNA splicing). Complementary binding between U2 snRNA (in an area lying towards the 5' end but 3' to hairpin I) and the branchpoint sequence (BPS) of the intron results the bulging out of an unpaired adenosine, on the BPS, which initiates a nucleophilic attack at the intronic 5' splice site, thus starting the first of two transesterification reactions that mediate splicing. Lineage: Eukaryota; Metazoa; Chordata; Mammalia; Carnivora; Felidae. The record is from RNAcentral.
AUCGCUUCUUGGCCUUUUGGCUAAGAUCAAGUGUAGGUCCUCAAUCCAUUUUGAGUUUCUUUUUGUAUAUACUUUUAGAAAGAGGUCCAGUUUUAACCUUUU